Molecule: ribosomal RNA, 338 nt
Filed under: uncultured Glomeromycotina
Lineage: Eukaryota; Fungi; Glomeromycota
Description: eukaryotic LSU rRNA
Source: RNAcentral
AUCACCUUUAUAUGCGAUUUUGUGGAGUGUGAGGAGCUAAUCGCCUUCAUACCUGUAUAUUCGUGUACUUGGGGUGUACUUAUUCGUGGGGUUGGUUAACUUCAAUUUUGGUUUCAUAAAAUGACUGGAGGAAUGUAGCUUCGAUCUCGUAUUGAAGUGUUAUAGCCUUCGGUAGAUGUGAUGAUCGAGAUUGAGGAUUGCAAUGGAUACCCUUCGGGGCUACCUGUCUGGUCUCUGAUUGUUGCUCUGGUGCCGAAAGCUUGCUUACGGUUAUCAAAGUCGAUGGUCAAUAGGUUAGAACGGGUUAAAUUCGUUAAGGAUGUUGACGUAAUGGCUUU